GCCUUCGUGGUGUAGUGGUGAGCACGCUCGACGCUUAUUCGAGAGGUCCGUGGUUAAAGUCCCGGUGAGGGCA
Molecule: non-coding RNA, 73 nt
Organism: Stegodyphus mimosarum
Lineage: Eukaryota; Metazoa; Arthropoda; Arachnida; Araneae; Eresidae
Source: Rfam